GAUGAACGCUGGCGGCGUGCCUAAUACAUGCCAGUCGAGCGAACGGACGAGAAGCUUGCUUCUCUGAUGUUAGCGGCGGACGGGUGAGUAACACGUGGAUAACCUACCUAUAAGACUGGGAUAACUUCGGGAAACCGGAGCUAAUACCGGAUGAUAUUUUGAACCGCAUGGUUCAAAAGUGAAAGACGGUCUUGCUGUCACUUAUAGAUGGAUCCGCGCUGCAUUAGCUAGUUGGUAAGGUAACGGCUUACCAAGGCAACGAUGCAUAGCCGACCUGAGAGGGUGAUCGGCCACACUGGAACUGAGACACGGUCCAGACUCCUACGGGAGGCAGCAGUAGGGAAUCUUCCGCAAUGGGCGAAAGCCUGACGGAGCAACGCCGCGUGAGUGAAGAAGGUCUUCGGAUCGUAAAACUCUGUUAUUAGGGAAGAACAUAUGUGUAAGUAACUGUGCACAUCUUGACGGUACCUAAUCAGAAAGCCACGGCUAACUACGUG
This 497-nucleotide ribosomal RNA is filed under the name uncultured bacterium. RNAcentral's name for it is "partial 16S ribosomal RNA". It matches the Rfam family "Bacterial small subunit ribosomal RNA", at positions 28 to 507 of the family's 1533-position model. The record is from RNAcentral.